AUGGCAAUGGUAAUGGUGGCUUCAAGUCGUCGGCGAACGCCGCUGCCAGAGGCCGGCAGGGAGGCAACAAGGGCGGCUACAACCGAAACCAGAAAGGUGGUGGUGGCGGAGCUCACAACGGCGGCUACAACGGUGCCUGUGGCAGCGGCUACCAAGGCGGUGGCGGCGACUACACCGGCGCUGGUGGCGGCGGCUACCAACAGAAUCAUGGUGGCGGAUACCAAGGGGGUGGUGGUGGCGGCGGCUAUCAUCACCCCAAUUCCAGCGGCAGCAACAACUAGCGGCGACCCCCCUCCAACAACAACAACAGGGGGCGCAAUUUUCAGGGGUAUUAGGGCUACGAAGGCAAGUGCCAAAUAUGUAAGAAAACCAAUCAUAUUGCAAAAGAUUGUGAUUGGCGUUAUGCCGAUGACAAUUCCCCAAAAAAGAAACUUGUAG
This 438-nucleotide ribosomal RNA is filed under the name Triticum aestivum (bread wheat). RNAcentral describes it as "partial small subunit ribosomal RNA". The record is from RNAcentral. Lineage: Eukaryota; Viridiplantae; Streptophyta; Magnoliopsida; Poales; Poaceae.